This is a non-coding RNA of Myotis davidii, 71 nucleotides long. The record is from Rfam. NCBI's taxonomy places the organism in Eukaryota, Metazoa, Chordata, Mammalia, Chiroptera, Vespertilionidae.
GGUGGUUCUCGGGUGACGCACCUGGGAAUUGGACGCACUCUGUUUCCAGGGUGCAUCACCCAAGAACCACU